This 468-nucleotide ribosomal RNA is filed under the name uncultured bacterium. Its description in RNAcentral is "partial 16S ribosomal RNA". It matches the Rfam family "Bacterial small subunit ribosomal RNA", at positions 28 to 507 of the family's 1533-position model. The record is from RNAcentral.
GACGAACGCUGGCGGCGUGCUUAACACAUGCAAGUCGAACGGAAAGGCCCUGCUUUUGUGGGGUGCUCGAGUGGCGAACGGGUGAGUAACACGUGAGUAACCUGCCCUUGACUUUGGGAUAACUUCAGGAAACUGGGGCUAAUACCGGAUAGGAGCUCCUGCUGCAUGGUGGGGGUUGGAAAGUUUCGGCGGUUGGGGAUGGACUCGCGGCUUAUCAGCUUGUUGGUGGGGUAGUGGCUUACCAAGGCUUUGACGGGUAGCCGGCCUGAGAGGGUGACCGGCCCCAAUGGGACUGGGGAACGGCCCCGGCUCCUACCGGAGGGAAGAGGGGGGAAUAUUGCACAAAGGGCGGAAGCCUGAUGCAGCAACGCCGCGUGCGGGAUGACGGCCUUCGGGUUGUAAACCGCUUUCGCCUGUGACGAAGCGUGAGAGACGGUAAUGGGUAAAGAAGCACCGGCUAACUACGUG